ACGAACGCUGGCGGCGUGCUUAACACAUGCCAGUCGAACGGAAAGGCCCUGCUUUUGUGGGGUGCUCGAGUGGCGAACGGGUGAGUAACACGUGAGUAACCUGCCCUUGACUUUGGGAUAACUUCAGGAAACUGGGGCUAAUGCCGGAUAGGAGCUCCUGCUGCAUGGUGGGGGUUGGAAAGUUUCGGCGGUUGGGGAUGGACUCGCGGCUUAUCAGCUUGUUGGUGGGGUAGUGGCUUACCAAGGCUUUGACGGGUAGCCGGCCUGAGAGGGUGACCGGCCACAUUGGGACUGAGAUACGGCCCAGACUCCUACGGGAGGCAGCAGUGGGGAAUAUUGCACAAUGGGCGGAAGCCUGAUGCAGCAACGCCGCGUGCGGGAUGACGGCCUUCGGGUUGUAAACCGCUUUCGCCUGUGACGAAGCGUGAGUGACGGUAAUGGGUAAAGAAGCACCGGCUAACUACGUG
Molecule: ribosomal RNA, 467 nt
Filed under: uncultured bacterium
Lineage: Bacteria
Description: partial 16S ribosomal RNA
Rfam family: Bacterial small subunit ribosomal RNA
Source: RNAcentral